CACGGGAAGGGCACAUACUUGCGGAAGGGCAGGAAGGCCCUGGGCUUUAGCCUGAGGGCAGGGUGCAGGGCAUCACACCCCAACCUCAGAGGGCAAGCAAGUUGACAGCUGCACACCUUUGUCGCUGUGUGCUUAAACUGGUUUGGAGCCACCUCUUUGAGGUCCUGCCAGAAGCCUGCAUUCAGAAACAAUGGAGCCAGAAAUGAGUCCGUUUAAGAGCCACUUGUGCCCAUUCGCCCACACCUCAGGCGGGUCAAGCAGGCCGCUGUCACAUUCACUCAGGAUGUCUCUCUCUGGAGGUGCUUCUGGCUGCAGAAUUGUUUUCAAAACAGAAGAACGUUCUGAAUUCCGCCUUCCCCCACUCCGCUCUGUCAAUCUAUUGAUUAUGUGUGGAAUGAACUGGAGAACUCAACUAGGAGAUGAAGAAAAACCCUCAGAAACCUCAAGGCCAAGAGGACGUGGUGGAGGCCAACUUGGGGGUUGCAGGACAUCACCCACCUACCCACGAGAUGAUCUAUUAAUAGCUCAGUGGUUCUCACACCUGGGCAGGCAUUGGCAUUACCUGAAGCUGAGAUGAAACCCAAAUGGCUGAGUCCCGCACCCACAGUGUCUGAUUCAGCGAGUCUGGGGCGGGGCCUGACUGAAUUUCCUGCAAUACAGAAAAAUCUCUCUGGCUGCUGCCAGGAGGCUGCUGUGUAGGAGACUGAGCAUGGAAGCCCCAGCCCAGCCCUGCCCAGUUAGGAAGCAACUAUUGUAUUCAGCAAACCCUGCUGGCUCUAACGAGAAGUAUCAUCCCGAGUGCAUCACCAUCACUUCUCACCUCCAUGGCCUCUCAUUAUGCACUCUCUGCCUCUACUCUUGCCUUCCUGGAGCCGUUCUCCAGCCGUUAGCCAAAUGGGUCUUUUCAAAGGUUCCCUGUGCUCCAGCCCCUCAUCACCUGGGAUGGGGUUGUCUGCACCGCUGUCCUUGUGCCUGAUGUCCCCACACGCUCGCUCCUCCUCCACCUUCCGGUAGUCCCAGCUUGAAAGUUCUGACCUCAUCCCCUUCCCCAACACACCCCUACUCCCUGUCACAUCACUCGAAUCUGCUGCCUACAAUUGGUGGGAGUGAAACCACUUAGUUUGCCAACUUUGAAGGAAUCCUGUGAAAUGCUCAGGUAACUGGCACCAAUUUCCCAUUUGUUCCCUUGACAUUUCAGUGCUGCUUAUGGAUUAGUGCUUUGGGCAGCUGCACAGAUAACCCACCUUUUGAUCUGGGUCCGCUUGGCACAAGAUACAAUAAAUGUCAUGAUAAAUGUCAGCCAGGAUUACAAUGCUUCCUUCACAAACCUUAGCACAGACGGUUUCAAUAAAGAUUGCUUGAUUAACUUUUUUCUUCUAAUUCAAUGCCAUUUUAAUCAUGUGCCUACUUUUUGCUUAAAAGGCCUGUGAAUUUCAU
Molecule: long non-coding RNA, 1437 nt
Filed under: Homo sapiens (human)
Lineage: Eukaryota; Metazoa; Chordata; Mammalia; Primates; Hominidae
Description: HSALNT0399197
Source: RNAcentral